This is a non-coding RNA of Arvicanthis niloticus (Nile rat), 2346 nucleotides long. Lineage: Eukaryota; Metazoa; Chordata; Mammalia; Rodentia; Muridae. The record is from RefSeq and is a predicted model, not a curated record.
GGGGUCCCCUGGACCAUGGAGACCAGGCUUGGGGUUUGUGGGUGGGGAAUGUCCUGACAGACCCUCAACUUUUUCCCAGAUCGCCUGGGGGCAGGUGGUAUACUGUUGGGGGAAGUCAGGCUUCCUUCCGGGGGCUCCUCGUGGCAGUGCCUUACCAUCCCCUGGCACCAAGCUUCAAUCCUCAGAGUCUCAUGACCUAGUGCCCAUGUGGCCAAUGGGGGAAGGUUGCAAGGUGGAGCCGCCAGCCUUGAUUGCAAAAGCAGGUGUGAGUAGGGAGCCUGCAAUCCCACCCAGCCCAGGAUACUGGCAUGACCCCCAGCCUUCAUCAGAUGGGUGUUGGGUGUUCUAGGGCAGCCACCAUGCUACCACAGGGAGUCCAGGUGUGGUGCAGAGGGGUGGGCUCGAUGGUGAGGCGAGGUGGGCAGGCAAGUGCUGUGACUCGGUGCAAUGACCCAGUUAUUUCCAAAAGGAAAAGGCAAAGCUUUGCUAGGCUGUACCAUCAUUGGGCAGUCCACAGGGAGAACCCAGGCAGACCUGUGCUAGUGGGUGUCCCCAGAACAGGGGUUCAAGCAGAAGUAGGGACCCCAGCUUCCUCUCUGGGUUUCAGACCCAAACCAAGACUGCCUUACUCCAGAAUCUGACUGUAACACCCGAUUACUGACACCCCCCUCCCCCAAACCCAGCAUGAUGAAAUCCAUGACUAGGGAGCAGAAAAGUGACCUGUGAGGAGCCUGCUGCCCGAUUCUCACUCUUCAAGGGAGGAGAUACUAUAGCCUAUGGGAGCAAGUCACCUGGCUAAAGAGGACCAGAGGCAGCUCAGUCCCUUGAGCUGGGAAGUGAGUCUCCCGUUGUCAGGAAGAUGGUGGGGGUUCUGGCGCUGUCUCCUGGUGUGAAUACCAGGGCUGUGGUGCAGGGCAUAAAAGAAUAGAGAUUGGGUCCCUGAGUCUGGAGAACUGGAGUCAGUCUGGGCAGACCAGGGACACAGCAGGGGUGACCAGGGGCCUCAGCAGCACUUGCUGCUGGGUAGAAAUUGUAACAGUCAAAGAAUGUUGUUGGCUUGCGUGAGGCUAAGAGAGGCUGCCCAGGUCCUUAGAGAGAGGCAGCCAGCCCAGGAGCAGGGCAGGGCCUCAGCCUAAAAACCCAGGCUCCUUUCUGAACACCCCUGGACCUUCUCCCACAGCAGCUAGACAGGUAGGCCAGGGACAUUAGAUCCUAAAGCUCCUGGAGAGAUAAGUCUCCCCUUAUCUCUGUCUGUGUCUCCUUAUCUCUGAUUGGAUGACAUCCAGGCAGUAUGUAACAAAACUGCACAGUUGAAGUGCCACAGCACCGUGGCACACAACCAUACAAGGCUGGAGGCCCUCUGACCCCUGAGGUCAGUCUUGGAGAGAUUGAUGCAACAUCCAGCCUUUUAAAGUGCUCCCAAGAGUUCAAAUGGGGAGUGGUUUUCAGGACAAGCUAUACAACCAAAUCUAAAGUGCUUCCCAACCUGGGCACCAAAAUCAAGUGUAGGAGUCUGCCCUGUCUGAAAACUAUCUGCUAUACAUCUGACCCAGCCCCUGAGAAGCAGAGGUAGGUGAAGCAAGAGUUGAAGGCCAUCCUUGACUAAUGGUAAGUUCGAAGCCAGCCCAAGGUAUAGAAGACCCUGGCCUCCAAACAAACAAAAACCACCCUACAAACCUCCCUCAGGUACUAGGCUCUGGGUUUGGUGGACAGGGUAGUCUUGCCAGCUUGGAAGAGAGUGGGAGUCCAUGGGCCAUCCACCUUCCCAAAGUCUGCCCCAAGCUCCAGGCUGGCUGGGCUCUGAGGAUGGGCCCCCACACUCUCAGCAGAGGCAUCUCCUGAGCCUCUCCCUCCUCUCCUCCCCCUUUACUGCCUGGCUGUCAUUGCAGCCACUGCAGGGCCAGACAGCUGAGGCCCAAUUGGUAAGAAGGUGACAGGCUGGGCCCCAGAAGAGAGGAGAGCUCCUUCCCUGACCUCUGACCCACUGUCCCAGCCAGCUCCUGGGAACUGAGCUUGCUGCUGAGUAUGCAGUCAUCCCUUAACUGUGGAGGGACAGGUUUCUGGAACUACCACCGGGGGCACCCUUCACCUUGAGACCCAGCAGGAGAGGGCCAUCUCUACCUGCCCAACCCUUGCUCUCAUUCUGCUCCUGCGGAGCAACCGUCUCCAGCCAGUCCCAGCUGCCUGUGCCGGUCACCCGAUCCACCCUGUAGCCCUGCAAACUUUAUGGACAAGAGGGGUCAAGGUGGGAGAGACACCCUUGCAGAGUUCUUGGUGGAGUGUGGGAAGGCAGCCGUGUCAGCUCUGCCGUGUCAGCCUCAGAGACUUCUAGAACCUGAGAAGAGG